Molecule: ribosomal RNA, 950 nt
Filed under: Escherichia coli
Lineage: Bacteria; Pseudomonadati; Pseudomonadota; Gammaproteobacteria; Enterobacterales; Enterobacteriaceae
Description: partial 23S ribosomal RNA
Rfam family: Bacterial large subunit ribosomal RNA
Source: RNAcentral
GGGUUGUGAGGUUAAGCGACUAAGCGUACACGGUGGAUGCCCUGGCAGUCAGAGGCGAUGAAGGACGUGCUAAUCUGCGAUAAGCGUCGGUAAGGUGAUAUGAACCGUUAUAACCGGCGAUUUCCGAAUGGGGAAACCCAGUGUGUUUCGACACACUAUCAUUAACUGAAUCCAUAGGUUAAUGAGGCGAACCGGGGGAACUGAAACAUCUAAGUACCCCGAGGAAAAGAAAUCAACCGAGAUUCCCCCAGUAGCGGCGAGCGAACGGGGAGGAGCCCAGAGCCUGAAUCAGUGUGUGUGUUAGUGGAAGCGUCUGGAAAGGCGCGCGAUACAGGGUGACAGCCCCGUACACAAAAAUGCACAUGCUGUGAGCUCGAUGAGUAGGGCGGGACACGUGGUAUCCUGUCUGAAUAUGGGGGGACCAUCCUCCAAGGCUAAAUACUCCUGACUGACCGAUAGUGAACCAGUACCGUGAGGGAAAGGCGAAAAGAACCCCGGCGAGGGGAGUGAAAAAGAACCUGAAACCGUGUACGUACAAGCAGUGGGAGCAUGCUUAGGCGUGUGACUGCGUACCUUUUGUAUAAUGGGUCAGCGACUUAUAUUCUGUAGCAAGGUUAACCGAAUAGGGGAGCCGAAGGGAAACCGAGUCUUAACUGGGCGUUAAGUUGCAGGGUAUAGACCCGAAACCCGGUGAUCUAGCCAUGGGCAGGUUGAAGGUUGGGUAACACUAACUGGAGGACCGAACCGACUAAUGUUGAAAAAUUAGCGGAUGACUUGUGGCUGGGGGUGAAAGGCCAAUCAAACCGGGAGAUAGCUGGUUCUCCCCGAAAGCUAUUUAGGUAGCGCCUCGUGAACUCAUCUCCGGGGGUAGAGCACUGUUUCGGCAAGGGGGUCAUCCCGACUUACCAACCCGAUGCAAACUGCGAAUACCGGAGAAUGUUAUCACGGGA